AUUUAUUAUGGAGAAAUUUGAAAAUAGAAACUCUGUCAAAAAAGAAACCAAAAAUGGAAACAACUGUGUCAAUAAUUAAUAGAGAUUUUUUUUUUGUUUGUUUAAGACAUGUAUUCACUUUUGACUUUUUUUUAUUUAUUUAUGACAGAUAUAAAUCUAAUUUGGGAUCAAACUAAUUAACCAAAUGUGGCUGAGGUCAAGGUGGUGUCACCAUCAACGACACUGCGGCUACCUGAUUACAGUUCUGUCCAUGCCAUCCCAUCACAUUCUUCAUGUGUCCACCGAUUUCUACCUUCUCAUUGUAGACGCCGGAUUUCACAUAGAUUAUGGCUCUUGGAGGUCGUCUGUCGCCCAUUCUAGCAAGUGCAGCCACGGCAUGGUUAAUUGUUGUGUGAGUGCGUGAACCAUCUUUUGCCACCACAAAGUCAGCUCUGGAUCUUGCCGGACUCCACGAUGCUAAAAGCCCUCCAUAUGGCCUUGCAUUGGAGUUUUGUCCAUGCCGCACUUCUACAUUAUAUUAAACCAUAAAUUGCAAAAACUACUAAUGCAAAAAUUAAAGUCAUGAUAAUGUAACACAAAAUAUUUGUAAUGUAAAAUUCAAAUUAAUAUCACCUAUUGGCUAAAAUUUACGAUCAACGUACUACUUACUCAUUGCCUCAUCAGUAGUCAUAGUACUCUUCCCAUACAGAGCAAGAGCUUCACCAAGCACCACGGUCAAGUUUUGUGCCACCGCACUAUACAGUUGAGCACCACUAGUAUUCUUAACAACACCGUUCUCUUCCAAGCUAUCCCAACAACUCCUAUGGUUAGCAAGCACACCGCUGAGCCAUGUCCGAGCAUCUUCUCCGGUAUAAUUACCCUCGCCGGAUAUCAACUCAGUCAUCAGCCUCGGCACACUCUCAUCAUAUAGUCUUUCACAGUCCAUCAGAGCCACGUCACGGCCAGAAGAAUCCGAUUCAGAGCUUGCCAACACAUGUACCCGGUCCAUCGAGGUACAGACCACAUUGGUGGCUUGAAGAACGCUAUCUAGGGCCAGUUGAACCGGUUUCGGAUCUUGGAAGCAGGAUGUGGAAGAAGCCAUGGUGAUGGAUAGCAGGAGGAGGAGGAAGGUGGUAACAGAGGUGGACAUUUUUGGUGAGUUAAUGCUAGCUAGCUAGGGAAAAGUGGUGAAAUGCAUGAGCCUGCAGGAGAGCUUGAAUGAGUUGCAGGAUCGAGGUGGUGUGGAUUUAUAGAGACAGUCGGGGAGGGGUGGGGGGAAGAAGAAAACACGUGUAUGUAGCUACUGGUGUUGUAUAAGCUAGCUAGCCAAGUGAGAUUAAUUGGUGCUGAUUUCCUUUGUAAAUGAUGAGCCACUUCCAAAUUCAGUUAUGCAUAUAUUGUAUAUAUUGUUUCCUGAUUUUCUUUCUAGCUUUUUGUAUCUGUUCGCAGAGAUAGAGUAAAUAUGCUCUUGUUAUGAAGUAUAUAUGACUCGUGUUAGAGAUAGAAGUAAGGGACCUGAAACAAACGUGUGUCAGGAAAACCAUUCCAGCGGGUAGUGAUGAUAUUGAUUUGGCAAGUAAGAGUAGUACUACGUGCCAGUGUUCUAAACAUGCACAUACGUAUACUUUUCUAUUAAUGCAUGUUUUGUAAUUUACUGCCGAUCGAUCGAGUUUAGUUAGAGUCUCAUACGUUUAUAUAGUGUUGCCUUCUGCUGACUCCAUGGAUCGAUAUAAUACAAACAAGUUUUAAUCAUAGUGAUGAACUAAUCGGUGAUGAUCGAGAUCAGUACGUAACGCUCAUUACUCAUUAAGUUGGUCACCAUGCCUGCACACUAAGUUGGUCACCAAAAUAAACUCGCAAAAUGCAAACAUUAUUCGUUCAAAGAAUAAAUAGUAGACGUACUAAAUUAGUAAAUUUCAUCUUAGACAAAGAAACUAGCAGACCAAGUUAAAGUCCAAUCAUCUUACAGUCCAUGUCUUUGAUCUGCUCCGAUAAUUCACGUAAGAAUAUCAAUAAUCAAUCGUUUGCUGCUGAUGUGCGAGGCAGUAGCCAUUUCUCCCGAGAGUCACUUUCUUAUUUUAGCACAUGAACUAACUAACUGUAUGCUUAUAAAUGAUCAAUAUGUUCUAAUUACUUUGAUGAUUCCCGAAACCCCCCUUGCAUUCUACCAUUUUGGUGUCAAUCCAUAAUCCCUACCUGGUUACUUACAACUACAAAUACUACUAGGAUUCACUAUUUGUAAAUAUAUUCUCUGUAUAUAUGGUGAUCAAAACUAACACUUUUAUGAAACUAACACUUUUAUAAAGUGGAAUCAACAAUAUAAAAUCCACAUGAUAAACAAACAAGUAUUCGAAGUUCAAUUCUUCGAGUUUAAAUAUACAACAGAUGCACAAACAGCAGGAAAAGUGAACAUGAUUUAUCAUGCAGCUUGAUAAAUGGGAUAUAAAGCGUGCACCACCUCUACAUGCGCGCAACAAAUGUUUAUAGAAAAAUAGAGGAAAAAAACAGGUGGAAAAUUAUAUAUUAAAAUAUAAAACAAUGCAUGAAACAGCAUGAAACUCGUAUAUGUGUAACAUAAUCACCUGUCACGCAAAGAAUAAAUCGAACGGCUUUCAUAUCCUUGAGUUCUAGAAUGACAUAUCACGUACAAUUACUACAUGAAGACUAUUAUCAAAAGAAAAAGGAUGGAAGGAUCAAGACUUAUUUGAUCAUUUUAUGUUUAAAGUCUACACACACAAAAAACUAAUUAGGUUUUUGAUCUAUCUACAUAUUUGAAUGAAGAUAAACUUGAUGACUAGAAUACAAGCAACUCGAUCUAAGUCUAUGACACUGUUUGUAUGAAACAUUUCUGAUUUUGAUAGUUUUAGAAGUCAAAGUCAACAAAUUUGAUUUUUUGCUGGUGAUCUACUACCUAGCUUGUUUUGGGUUCUCAACCAAGCGAUAAUUGCCACAGUCGUGUUUGAAUGAUCAUCAUCUGCAGUCUCUGCUCGAAAGCUUUGAUUUCUUUUAGUUAGAGCUCCAAUUAAGUCAAACCUUAAAAUAACAACCAGAUUUAUUAUAUAUGACAGCAAUAUAUGAUGGUCGCAUAUCUGGUGUAAUAAUUUGAAAAUGAUGAUGUCUCUUUUCUUUUCCUUGGUACCAAAUUAGUCGAACGCAGAAAGUUAGAUCAGACUUCUCCGGUUCAAAACUUCACUUUUGGAUUUCCGGAAAUGAAAGCAAAACUAGCUAAGGGUUUACGUAAUCUUCUUCAAUUCUUCCAACCCAAAAGAUACAUAUAUUAAACAAAUUAACGACAACAAUCCUAGGCUAGUGAUCAAAUACAAUCAAUUUGAAAAAUGGUUAACAGAGUUCUUUUUAGGUGGAAGUAGGGGAUCUAAGUUUAGCAUUCGAGGACUCGCUAAAAUAAUUGAAGAACAGAUUCAGAUGGAAUAUGUUCAUAUCAUUGCGACAACAGCUACCAGCAAAUAGUUAUGAUGAUGAUGACCAAGACUGACCGGAUAGACACGAAUAUAUAUAGAAUUGUAGCUAGCUUGCGAUAGAAUCAUAUAUAAAUCCUUUAGAAAUGAAAUUAUUGAACGUCGUCUUCAAAUUCGAUCAUUAUAUAUUUGUACGUCGAUGGUGUUUAAUUGGUUAAGCCUUGAUUUUCAACAUGAACAGUAUAGUUGUUCCUAGCUAUUGCCAACUAAGGUCAUGACUAAAACAUUAUGGUAUUCCCAUCGGCUUAGUCCUGGACUACUACUCAUGGUACAUAUCCAAUCAUUUUUGAUAAAUAAUUACCAUUUUCUUUUACAAAAUAUUUAAUUGCCAUUUGAGAAAUCAAGUUUAUCCAUCAAGUCCUUCUUUCUCUUUCUUAAUUUUCUCCAAUCAACAGAAUAACUUGACCAAGAGAACCCUUUUAGUGAAGACUCUUAAGUUCAGGACUAGUUGAUGACUUUUCGAUUUAUGGUUUAAAAGACAUAUUUUUCGAUCACAUAUUGGCAUCUCAUCCGUUCAAUUUUUAGGUCUAUAUGCGUAGAUCAACCCUACAAUUUUUCAGCCAAAUCAAUGAUCGUUAAGGUAACAAACUAGAUCAAAUUAAUGGACAAACCAAAUCUGUUAAACAUGAACCGUUCAAGUUCAUAAUUGAUAAAUCACACUUAUAAGUCUUAACGAUUUUCAAUAUGGCUGAAAAUUUGCAGAAAUAAUCUACUCAUAAAUACCUAUAAACUGAACGGUCUAGAUGUGGAUAUAAGAUCGAAAAGUGAGAUAAACCGAAAAGCCUUUAACUAGUCCUGAACUUAAGAGUCCUCGUUAAAAAGGCAACUACUUGGACUAUUUCCACCCAUUCCCACAACAGGAACCACACUCAACUUAUCAUCGGUUGCAUUAUCCGACAACAGCAAGUUAAUGAUGAACUUCUUGUCCUCCUCCCUUCCAUACACAUCAAAAUCAUUUACCAGAGAAGAAACUUCAAGUGAUCUUGCUGGUUGUGGUUUAUCCUUAAAACUCUCUUUCAAACCAAUCUCAUCUUGUUCCUUCAUAAUAAGUUCUAAUCUCUCGAGGGUCUCCAAUAACUUGUGCUCCAUAGAUUUGUCAAAUUCAAAUGUUGAAUUAGUAGAGCUGAGAUCGUGUACCUGACUACCUAGAGCUUCGGUAGUGAUCUCAUCGAGCAAGUCCCCUGCAACAUACAAAGCAUGUUUAAGCUCGUCAAGCCACUCCCUCCCAUUCGGGUUUCUGAAUCGCUUCUCCUCUGCAUCAUCGAGCACUGAAUUCACAGAAAGCAGCUUCAUCUUUAACUUCCUGAGCAAUCCAUAGUUGACUUUCUGUUUGGAGAUGAAGUCAACUACUUGACGAGAGGCAAGUCUGGCAAACAAAACAGACAGAAAUGAAGAGAGAAAAGCUCCACCCACCAACUCCAGAGCCUUGGUUUAUCGGUCAUGCAGGAAACAGGAAGAUCACAGGGGAAGAAGAAAGGAAGUGAUCAGAAGAAAAAUGAAACAAACAAGAAUUUGAGCUGUUAACUUGUGAUUGUUAUUCUUGGAAAAUGAGGUUCAAGCUAGAUUAGAUAGUCUAUUCUUCUUUAUUCAUAAGCACAUGUCCAUGUUUACAAUAUUCCUAUAUCUUAAUACUAAUCAUCGAGUUGUGUAAAUAGCACAUAAAGAAUAGUAAUUUAUUAAGAUGCUAAUGUAUUCUUACAGGAUUCUGGAAAAAAUAAAAAAUAAAAAAAAAUAAAAAUCAACUAUCUAAUAGAUAUUGAAUUAGAAUCAUAAAAAGCAAUUGUCUUUAACUAUUUGGCUUCUCAACCAACAUCAAAUAGCCCAACAACGAAUACAACAGGUAACUCUAGUGAGAUUUAAAUUUAAAUCUCAGCGCUGUUGAUCAAGCAUGUCAUGAACCAAACACACAGUUGUCCUGUUUGACAUUUCAGCCAUGCUUUUCUAAAAUAGCCAAAAUGAAAAAACAUUCUUUAGCCAAAAUUUAAUAUUGGAAGUUACAAAAACAAAAACACAACAUUUGUUUACUCCUGUAUUGCCUGUCAUAAGAGAACCCCUCUGUUGCAGCUUCAACGAAAUAGGCAGUGAUCAUACUUCUAACCAAGGGUACACUUUUGGUGAUGAAGGCAACCGUGCUGUAAGAACUUCAACUCCAGUCUCUGUCACCUAUAAAUUAAGGGGAAAAAGGAAGAUAAAGGAAUUACAUAUAAACCACUGUAGCCUGAUUCCCCAGACAAAUAAGCAGGAUUCAUUAGCAGAUGAGCUAUCAUGAUGACAUCUAACCUAACUAAAUCUCAAUGGUAUUCUAAUUCAACGUAGAUAAAUAAAACAGCAUACUUGAUUUAAGACAAUACGAAUAGACCAGCUUAAGCUACUUUCUCGUCAUCUCAGACACACUUGAAGUUCUAACGCUAGCAUGCCACUAUACCCAUAUUACUAGAAGAAACAGUUACGAAGAAUAAUAAAAUAACAAUCCAAAUACAGAUCAAACUAAGGAAUAUACACAAAUGCACAGAAAACCAACAAGAAUGUCCUUCUGACAGUCAGAGAAAUGGCAGCUAGAGAAGUUGCAAACAAGUUACCAACAUAACAUAAUAAAAGGAAGUACACAGUUACCAGAAGUGUGUGCUCGAAUUGAGCACUUCGUUUCCCAUCUGCGGUAACAGCAGUCCAUCCAUCAGGCCACAUUCGAUCACGCAAACCCCUAAUUGAUAAUUAGUUCAAAUUUAAUAAGGUGUACCCAGCAACCAAAAAGCUAUUCAAUAUCACAUAAACAACUUUCCAAAAGUACCUGCAUUGAUCAUCGGUUCAAUCGUGAAAGUUUGCCCAGCUUUCAUCACUCCAACUGCUUUAUUUCCUGCUUGGAUUAAAGAUAAGCAAUGCAUUAAAAGAAGAAGAAGAAGAAAAACAAUCCUUAGAUACAGAAGCUGCUUAAUGGAACAUACUUGCAUAGUGAGGAAUAUUUGGUGCACAAUGAAAGAGCUCCCCUAUACCAUGACCACAAUAUGAUUUCACCUGUUGGUCCAAUACAAGAUUUGCUCAAAUUCUAUCUGAUGGACUUAAAAAUGAAAGUAUUGUGCAAAUCUAAAUACAAGCUGCAAAUUACCACAGAGAAUCCUGCCAUAGUAGCAUGGCGAUUAAUGACUUCUCCAACUUCACGAAAUCUAACUCCAGGUUUUACUGCACUUGAAAAAAGAUUCACGAAUAAGGUGGUAUGCUUUCAAACCCACAAAAUACUUGAUAGUACACUGUUGCACACUCCCAAUUACAAAUAAAUAGGUUGAGUUCUCCGACACAAUCAGUUAUCACUAGAAUCUACAGUUUGCCUAUACAAACUUAAGCAAAAACAACCACAAAGAUAAUUCAAGAAUUAUUGCAUUGCAAUUUCCACGGCACCAAAUAAGUAUACAUGCAAUAUCAGAAAAUAAUAAAUAUCAAAAGCAUAAAUGAAUAGGAGACACAUGAGGAAAGGAGUAAUAAACUUGAGCUGUGUUUUCUUGGAUCUGUUACAUAUCCGGCAUGACAGAUAACAGAACCCCCAAUAUCAAAAUCCAUCAUGGAACAAUUGUAAAUUUUACUUGAGGAUCCCAACCCAACUGAUAGAUCAAUGUACCAAAUAGUUGCACUGUAAUGCAUACCAAUGGCUAUUGCUUUUUCCAAGCACUCGUAAGUACACUGUACUAGCCGUCGAGACUCUUCAUCAACAUUUCCCACAAAGUACGUAUCAUUGAGAUCACCUGUAUUAUGAGGUAACAAUUGGUCAAGCAAAAACAUUAAGAUAAUUUUGAACCACAUGUUAAAUGUGGAGAGCAAGAAUUACCAUGGACGCCUUUGUAAUACACAGUUACGUCAACAUUGACGAUAUCACCAUCUUCUAAUUUCCUGGAACAGAUGUUUCAGUCAAAUGAAAUAGAACAAAAAGGAUAAACAAUAUAGACAAAUGCCUCUAAAUUCUUGUCUUGUAGUCUUCUAGAAGCAAUUUUCAGGAUAAAGGGGAUCACUAGUUCAAACUUCAAAGACCGAACGAAAAAGAGCACAUAACAAAAAAUUAUACCUGGCAUCAGGAAUCCCAUGGCAAAUUACUUCAUUGACUGACCUGUAGAUGGAAGCACAAUUAUUUGAACAAUAUUGUACAAUCUCAAAAAUAAAUAAGAAAAUGUACAUGAAAAGAUACCUACGUGCAGCAAGACUUUGGGAAAAAAUGAUAAUUGAGGGGAGAUGGAUAUCCGCCUGCAGUAAGUUAAAGUCAGACAACCAGACGAACAAGAUUCGGCCACAUAAAAGCUGAUCACUAAAAAGCAUAGAAGUUAAAUAUAUAUUAUAUAUAUAGUCAUAUAGCUAUAUAUGUUAUAAUUAAUAGCAAAGCAUAAAACUAACAUGAUCAAAAUUAGACAUUAAAUUAUCUAUACUGUUAUUAAGAGACAAGUUUGUCAACCAAAACAGAAUUUCUUUUCUUUUUUUUUUUACCAAAUAUCCCUCAAAUAUUAAAAAAAACAUCUGAACCAAAUUAUUUGGAAAUCGAAGAACAAAAUGGCCAAUUCACAAAUAUAAGAAAAACAUCAGAAAUUUUAAAAAAAAAUUUUAAAAAUUCAGCAAUUUUCUCUACAUUUUAUGGAAUAAGUUCCAAGUAAUUCCCAUGUUAUCCACAUCCCUCUAGUAUGAAUAUAAACUAUGGAACUGAACUAGUAAAUAAACUGUGAAAUCAAUAAUACUAAAGAGCAUAUAAGACUUGAAGAAGACAACUAGUUUUGGCACUGUAAGUAAUAUGGUGAAAGCCUAUUAUAUACCUGCAGCUAUAGUAGCAUCAUGGACCACCCUAUCAAUUUCAUCAGUCGUGAUACCAGGCCGUAUGACACGAGCAGCUGCAUCCAAAACCUCUCUUGCAAUCUGACAACAAGAAGAACGCCACAGUAUAAGUAAAAAUUAAGCAGACAAUAUAGUGAAGAGUUCACAUUGAUGCUUAAUGAUCACGGAAGAAAAUAAGAAAUAAUCACUUGGAACUUACUCGACAAGUUUCUCGCAUCCUCUCAAUUUGAUCUGGAGUCUUGAUCUGCAAAACGAAUACAUCAUUACGUACUUGGAAAUAAAGAAAAGAAAAAAAAAAACAAAGAGAGCAGAAAAAUACUAACCUGAUAGCACAUCAACCUAUACCUAAGAUAUGAUAUAUGUGUGUAUAUAUAUAUAUAUGAGGUUAUCAAGUACAUUUUUACCUCAACAAUUCGCUGGAGGUCACUACUAGGCUCCUCUUUUGGGAUUCCCUGCAAGUUUUGGAAGGUCAAAAUCAUGAUGGCGUAUUUGCAUCUAGAAGUAGCAACAUAAUGUAGCAUCUAACUACCAAUCAGAUCAGCAAUGCAUCUAGGGAAAUUGACCAUGAGGAAUACAUAGAAAUGAUUCUGAAACUUACAUCAGCUGCCCAAUCAGGUAGAUCAAUAUGAGAAGGUACCACACGCUUACUAGAUAUAGGAUAUGGCCUCAAUGUCCUGCACAAGAGAGAUAACUUCAGAAACUCCAUAUGAUGAUCAAUUCGUGUGAUUUAUAGCAUUUUACAUGAUGCCACAAGCAUAGCCAUGAAACGUAAAUUUCCAAACCACGAGUCAAAGAAUGCCAAGAGUCAAGCCCAUCAAUCAUACUUAACACUAACAAAAGGGCAGGCAAAAUCACAGAAACAUACCCAGUCCAUUCAAAAUAAGGAAGUUUCGGAGAUCGACUCUGUCCUUUCUUCAUACAAUAUAGCCAGCCUUCAUUCUCCGUAUUCCCCGUCCCAUCAGACUGCUUCGCCUUUACAUGUACUGAUUUAUGCGAGCUCCACGAUGCCUUAAAACAAUCCUGUGUGCUGAUAACAGAGGUUCCAAAUCUUCAUAAUCAGACAAACUCAAAGAUCAUUUUCAAACUUACAGCAACAUACGCUAUCGAUUCUUGUCUAAGAUUCUUGUCUUAAUCAAACUACUAAUGAACUCUAAAUCCUGAUCAACCUAAACUCGAAAAGCGCAACUCGCUAUAAUUUCUAAUAAUCCAUUAUUAACACAAAGAAUGAAAUCAUCACGCACCAGAAAGCAGCAGCUUCACGAGGAAGCUUCAACUCCACACACUUGGGGCACCUGUAAUAUCAAAAUCAAAGCUGAAUUCAACAAGUUCCAAUCUUUUAAAGCCAUAAACAUUCAAGAAUUCUCAGAGUCAAGUAAUUAUUGCUUCGUUAAUCAAAAGAAUCAUAAAGAUUACAUCUUCGUGUUGCGAAAUUGAAAGAAAAAUUUGAGAGUGAGAAAUUAACGUACUGAAGAUUGGCGGGUUUGCUGCAGCGAGCACAGGAGAGGGUAGCGACGUCGGCCAUGAUCGCAUUCAGUGGGCUCCGGCGAGCUGCGAGAGGUCAAUUUGGUCUGAUUUCAGUGACAGAGAAGAGGAGGAGGGGCUAGGGUUUUGGGUUGAGAGGGAAAUCAGUUGGAGAUUUCUCUAUUUAUACAAAUUAUCAAUUUUCUACAUUUAUUAUAGAGAAAUUUGAAAAUAGAAACUCUGUCAAAAAAGAAACCAAAAAUGGAAACAACUGUGUCAAUAAUUAAUAGAGAAUUUUUUGUUUUUUUGUUUAAGACAUGCAUUCACUUUUGACUUUUUUUUAUUGAAGCAAUAUUUCAAUAGAGAAAAUGAUCCAGGUGUAUACAACAAAUCUGACCCUUAUUAAAAUAAGCAAAUUACAACAAACCGAGAUUAAAAUCACAAUAGAGAAACUCAUCAAAGUCUUUACCUAACUAGUUAACAUAAACCAAAUCUAACAACCACUAUGAGUCAAAUUCCUUACAAUACAUAGCUUCUGGCAAAAUUAAUGUCGAUCUAGCAAGUGUAUGAACCACAAUAUUUAAUCUUUUCUUUACAUGCUUUCACAGAAGAACACAAAUUCUCUCUUCAUAUCCUUUUCUUUACAUUUACUUUUGACUUUAUCCAAAAUAAAAUCAAGUGAAUAUAUUAUACUAACAAAUGUAAGGGUUAUUCAAUUGAGUGUGUUAUAGUAAUUUUACAAAUUCACACGAUAUCUUUAGUUUUAGUAUGAUCAACGACAACGAGUCAACGUUGAAACGUUGUGGUAUUCAAUUUGGUUCCUUGAUAUUGACUGAAUUUAUUUACAUAUGGUCAAUAUAUAAUCUGUGCAAGUUAAAUUUGUAUGAGUUGAUUCUUCUGAUAGUAGUGAGUGGUAAUAGUUUUGUAGUGUUGUGUCUCCUUCUUAAUGCAUUUAAUCUCUUGAUAAAGAAAAUUGUGAGAGUUACAAAUAAUAUUUCUCUUAAAAAUUAAACAAUUGCUAAUCUUUGCUCUUCUCAUAUAAAAGAAAAAACGGCUAAUAUAUGCAAAGAGGUUAUAGUACAUAUAUACUACCAUAAUAUGGUAUUACAAAGUUUUUUUUUUCUUUUUGUAUGACAAAGUUUAUUUACCAAUGAUUAUAUUCCAAGCCAAACCGGCACACCGGUCCCUAGAAUCCAUGACUCUCCUUGAAUGAAAUGGCUAAUUGAGUAAGGGCUGACCUCCCGAGGACUAUUAAGCACAUGAAAACUAGGCCAUCUAACCCUCUUAUCAGUUGAGGCACCCUGCCCUACAUUCAUAUACUCCCCAUAAUACAGUGUUGAAAUUGCAAAACUACCUCUCCAUUCCGUCCACCCCUUUGGAUCAACCAAACCAUCCAAAUCAGUCUUUAAGAACACUGUCCUCGAGUAUUUAUGCCAUGGCCGAUCAAGGUAAGUCUUAAACGAACCCUUAACCCCCUCAAACUCCCUCGCAGGCCUAACGCGACAACCGUGAAUAACAUUGCCCGUGUUCUCUGCCGGGUUGUCACGUCCUUGAGCAGUGAUCAUGUUGGAUUGGUGCCCCAAUGGCCUCCUCACUAAAAUGUCGCAAUUUUGUAGCACGACAGAGGCGUCACCAAAUAUGAAAUCGAUGGUGCCGUAUAUGUGACUGUCACGGUAGAAUUGCCUUAGGGAGUGGGCGUAGAGACUGUCUUGGUAUCCCUUGAUGCUACAUCGGUAAAACACUGCCAGGUCGGAGCUAACCCUCAAUGCCACUGCUUGGUGCUUUUGUGGACCGGCUGUAUUCUCAAACGUUAUGUCCCUCGCCCAAAAACCAUCCCCUGAGACACCUGCAAAAAAUGACAACAUUACAAGUGAUUGUUUCAGCGUCAUUGUACUAUAUAUUGAUGCACAUUCUAGCUUAUAUUAUUGUUCUAAUUCUUAAAAAUUCGCUAGUGCAUGCAGAUAAAAGAGAGUUGUACUAGCUAAUGACAGAUAUAAAUCUAAUUUGGGAUCAAACUAACCAAAUGUGGCUGAGGUCAAGGUGGUGUCACCAUCGACGACACUGCGGCUACCGUGAUUACAGUUCUGUCCAUGCCAUCCCCAACAAGCAUCACAUUCUUCAUGUGUCCACCGAUUUCUACCUUCUCAUUGUAGACGCCGGAUUUCACAUAGAUUAUGGCCCUUGGAGGUCGUCUGUCGCCCAUUCUAGCAAGUGCAGCCACGGCAUGGUUAAUUGUUGUGUGAGUGCCUGAACCAUCUUUUGCCACCACAAAGUCAGCCCUGGAUCUUGCCGGACUCCACGAUGCUAAAAGCCCUCCAUAUGGCUUUGCAUUGGAAGUUUGUCCAUGCCGCACUUCUACAUUAUAUUAAACCAUAAAUUACAAAAACUACUAAUGCAAAAAUUAAAGUCAUGAUAAUGUAACACAACAUAUUCGUAAUGUAAGAUUUAAAUUAAUAUCACCUAUUGGCUAAAAUUUACGAUCAACGUACUACUUACUCAUUGCCUCAUCAGUAGUCAUAGUACUCUUCCCAUACAGAGCAAGAGCUUCACCAAGCACCACGGUCAAGUUUUGUGCCACCGCCCUAUACUGUUGAGCACCACUAGUAUUCUUAACAACACCCUUCUUUUCCAAGCUAUCCCAACAACUCCUAUGGUUAGCAAGCACACCGCUGAGCCAUGUCCGAGCAUCUUCUUCGGUAUAGUUACCCUCGCCGGAUAUCAACUCAGUCAGCCUCGGCACACUCUCAUCAUAUAGUCUUUCACAGUCCAUCAGAGCCACGUCACUGCCAGAAGAAUCCGAUUCAGAGCUUGCCAACACAUGUAGCCGGUCCAUAGAGGUACGGACCACAUUGGUGGCUUGAAGAACGCCAUCUAGGGCCAGUUGAACCGGUUUCGGAUCUUGGAAGCAGGAUGUGGAAGAAGCCAUGGUGAUGGAUAGCAGGAGGAGGAGGAACGUGGUAACAGAGGUGGACAUUUUUGGUGAGUUAAUGCUAGCUAGCUAGGGAAGAGUGGUGAAAUGCAUGAACCAGGGAGAGCUUGAAUGAAUUGCAGGAUCGAGGUGCUGUGCAUGGAUUUAUAGACAGAGUCGGGGGAAGAAAACACGUGUAUGUAGCUACUGGUAGUGUAAGCUAGCUAGCCAAGUGAGAUUGGUGUUGAGAUGGAGGUAGUAGUACUACUCUGCUGCUUUGAGUUUGAUGAGUGAGUAAUGGAAACAGUUCUUAGUUGGUGAGUGGCAAUAUUUAUGUAAAGGUAUAGACUUAUUUAGAAAUGAUGAGCCACUUCCAAAUUCAGUUAUGCAUAUAUUGUAUAUAUUGUUUCCUGAUUUUCUUUCUAGCUUUUUGCAUCUGUUCGCAGAGAUAGAGUAAAUAUGCUCUUGUUAUGAAGUAUAUAUGACUCGUGUUAGAGAUAGAAGUAAGGGACCUGAAACAAACGUGUCAGGAAAACCAUUCCAGCGGGGGUAGUGAUGAUAUUGAUUUGGCAAGUAACUGAGUAAGAGUAGUACGUACGUGCCAGUGUUCUAAACAUACAGAUACGUAUACUUUUCUAUUAAUGCAUGUUUUGUAAUUUACUGCCGAUCGAUCGAGUUUAGUUAGAGUCUCGUACGUUUAUAUAGUGCUGCCUUCUGCUGACUCCGUGGAUCGAUAUAAUACAAACAAGUUUUAAUCAUAGUGAUGAACUGAUCGGUGAUGAUCGCGAUCAGUACGUAACGCUCAUUAUCUCCCAUGCAUGUAUGUGUAUAUAUAUACAUGCAUAUACGGUUUUCCUUGGUUAAGGAGAUCCUUAUUUAUUAUUAUGUUGUGGAUUUUCACUUUAGACUCACUUUUCAAUUGAAUUUGUAUAUCUUCACCGUUUAGUCUUUAAGUACUAACGUGUAGAUCAUCUCUGUAAAUUUUCAACAAAUUUAAUAAUCGUUAAGGCACUGAUAACCAAAGGGACAUGAACCGGCACUGAUAACUAUUUGAUCAUCUCUGUACACAAUAUGCUAUCCCAUCUCACUCAUUUUCAUAAAUUGAUUUUAGAACCAUUAACUUAAUAACCAAGGAGACAUGAAUUUAAGAAUCAUUCACACACUGAUUUUUUCCUCCUUCGUUUAAGUUGUCUUCGAUUCAUGACUUUUUCACUAUGUAAAUAAUUAGUUGUUUUAAAGUCGUAACAGAAGACCAAAAAUAAUAUUAAUAUAAGAAAAUAUACUUUUCAGAUGGGUUUGUAAUCAAUAAUAUGAAGCUAGUUUGCGUAAAUGCGUUCACCCAUGACUAUUACACAGAAACAUGUACAGUUAUUUGAGAUGGGUUCCUCGUCCAAAAAAAAAAUUAGAGAUGGGUUCGAAAUCAAUAAUAUGAAGUUAUUAAUAGAAGAUGCAUCCAAGUGUCCAACCUUGACAAUCACACAAGACAAUUGGUUUAACCCUAUUUAUUUUAGCCUAGAUGAAGUUGCUCGUGUUGGUUUGAUACGCUUGAACUCAACCUAUUAAUUUUUUACUUUGUAUGUUAAUUAUGAAAAAGUUGCUCUUUAGGUUGCAUGUCAGAUAUAUAUGAUAUGCAACCUAAAAAUUCCGGUAUAUAGAUUAAGCAUAAAUCAUUAUGUUCUAAAAGGUUUAAGUCGCCACUAAGCAUAGCAACUACUCCUGUCUCGCUAAACCUAAGAAGACGUAUACACACAACUAAUAAUUGUAACUUGAGAAUCUGAGAAGUUCAAUGAUCGCUUAACACAGUCAUCAAAUGCUUGUAGCAAUAGAACUCUAACAUGCAAAAAAUUCUACAAUAUGUUAAUGCAUGUAAUGCAUCAAUUUUGUCCUAAAGUUAUAAAAUGAGUCAUCAAAAUAGUUAUAUUAGUCUUCGAAGUUGUAAUAUGAGUCCCGUUAUAAAAUUUUGAAGUUAUAACAUUAGUCAUCAUGUGUGCUUAAAAUGGUAAAAUGUGUGUUUAAAGUGGUAAUUGAGUCCUUAAAAUGAUUUUAAAGUGAUUUUAAAAAAGUUGUUACAACUUUAAGGAUUCAUUUUACAACUUUUUGGACUCAAUUACCUCUUUAAGGACACAUGAGGACAAAUGUUGUAACUAAUUUUUUUUACAACUUUAAGAACUCAUAUUACAACUUUAAGGACUGAUAUUACUACUUUAAAGACACUUUUUACAACUUGAGGAAAAAAUUGAUGCAUCACAUACAUUAACACAUCCUAGCCUUACCCCUGCCUGCACACUAAGUUGGUCACCAAAAUAAACUUGCAAAAUGCAAACACUAUUCAUUCAAAGAAUAAAUAGUAGCCGUACUAAAUUAGUAAAUUUCAUCUUAGACAAAGAAACUAGCAGACCAAAUUAAAGUCCAAUCAUCUUACAGUCCAUGUCAUGCAUGUCUUCGAUCUGCUCUGAUAAUUCACGUAAGAAUAUCAAUAAUUAAUCGUUUGCUGCUGAUGUGCGAGGCAGUAGCCAUUUCUCCCGAGAGUCACUUUCUUAUUUUAGCACAUGAACUAAUUGUAUGCUUAUACAUCAAUAUCUUGUAAGUUGAAUUUGAACAAUUACAAGUUUAUAUUUAGUACAACAACUAAUUUUACAACAGGGUAAGUAAUUAGAGAUAUUAGGCAUUUUGUAUUCCAUGUUAAAUGUAUUCAUUAUGUGAAUAUAGUAGUGGGAAGUUCUAAAGAAGACAACUGAAACAGAUAUAAGUGAUUGCAGCCAUUAUUGAGAUAUAAAGACCUUUUAUGGGAGGGCUUUGUAUUAGGAUGCUUUCACUAUAAAUACUAGGUCCCUGUACUCUCUUUGUAAUCAGCUAUUCAGUUCUUGCCCCAUAGAAAGAUAGCUAACAAAAGAGACGUGCAGAAGAUUGGUAUUUUGAGAUGGCUUCAUCAGUUUAGGUACACAUUCAGUUCUAUUCAUUGAUAUAUCGUUUCCCUAUAUUUGCAUAUAUUUGUGUGCUUGUGAGUACAAUAGAUGUGUUUAUGCAAUUAUUUGAGUGUUUCAGAUUUACGCUUUCAAUUGGUAUCAGAGCCGAUUGCAUAUUUCAUAAACCACUUCAGUUUGCUAGAUUGGGUUUUGUACGAUUUCAUUCUAAACAAAUAAAAAAAAGAAAAAAAAGGAGGUGAUUAUGUUGUUAAAACGUAAGCCUUGUUUUUUAAUUAAGACCCAAACCAAGGCUUGCUCUCAGGCCCAAGGUUCACAUUCACACACAACUAGCGCAUGCGCAAAUCAAUUAAACGACCUCAAGUCGUUGUUCUCUGUUGCCAUCUUCUUCAGUAUUCCCAGAAUUGGGAAUUAGGUUUCUAGAGAAAAAUCUUUUUGAUCAUAUGAUUCCGCAUUACUGAGACAAGUUAAUAUGAACUAUGAUUUAUAAACUCCAAUCGCUGCAUAUGUCUAUCUUGCUUUUGAUUAUUCUACAGCGCAGCAGGAACACUGGGUUAGUUCCCAAAAUUCGAAAUUUUCUUUCAUGUAUAUAUGAUUCUUGUUGGUUGAGCAAUUGAACACUAGAGGCAUUCCUAGCGUGCAUCUAAGUUAGAGUAGAUGGUGUCCAGAUGAAACUUACUUUAGUGUGGCUGAUUGAAUUCUUGAUGUUUGGAAUUGUUUGAGAUUUCUGAAUGUUCAAUUGUCUGCUCUUGAGUCAUAAUUGAGUUAUAUAUACUUACAUAUAUAUUCGUUUAUCUUGAAUUGUUGACAUUGACAAGAUGAUCUCCCAACUUUCAUAAUCUUGCUCAUUGAAAUUCGUUGAUGAACAGGUUGUUCUCUUUGUUUGGUUUUAACUUAGCUUGCUUUGUUAAAAGUUAACGAGUAAUAACCACUAGUUCUUGAUUGUAAGAUAGUAUUUUGAUGCAUGUUGUACACAUCAAUCUGUCAAUAUAUUAUUUUGGAAUCAUUUGGAUAUAGAACUAGGAAAAUUGUGUCUUUAAUUUUUGGAACAAAAUUGUAUCUUCAACAGAAGGAUUGACUCUUGUGCUCUUAAAGGUAAAACAGUGCAUCAUGAAAUAUUAAAAACUGAAUUCAGUGAACUGGACCUUUUCUUCUUGCUAUACAUGUGUUGACUGUUCCAAGGAUAUCUUGGUUUUUAGUAUUUUGGUUUUGCAAAUAAGAAACUUAAGCAAUAACCUAUUCUUUUGCCAUACAGGUAAGAUCUGUUAUUGAAAACUAAUAUGCAUAUUUUGGGGAUUAUGAUUACCAUAUUUUAUGUUAUGAUCUCGAGUUGUUUUUUGCUGUGACUUGAUUUCUUUUGUGUUCAUAGUUUUCUGAAAUUGUUUAGACUCUAACUAAGGCAGAAAACUAAAACUUUAUUUUUUAUUUUCCUCCCCAGUUCUGAACAAGGAAGAAAAUUUCGGUGAUUAGGGAAAUUUCGACCCUCCAAAAUAUGGAAAUUUCGACGGAAAUUUCGGGGAAAUAUCGAUUGCAGUAAAAAAAAUGAGAAAAUUGACAGAAAUUUGAAGAAAAACAAGGAAAUGUUAAACCAAACUUUAAGAGAUGUUUGUUUUCUAUAUUAUGUACUAUAUUUGAAAUGAAAACCUUGAAUAAACAUUGAUCUAUAGGGAAUUGUGGUAAGUUAAGGUGAAAAUGUUAGUGCUGAACUGUUAAUAAUUCUUACAAGUUUACUUUAAACAUCUUUUUUCUUUUUUUUUUUAUGGCUGGAAACCUAAAGGAAGGCUAGGUCAUCACGCCUUAUAUACAUAUGAUACAUUUCACAUGGAAUUACAUGAGUACUUUAAAACCACGUAGAAGACCUAUGAGGUACAAAAUUUUCACUAUCUGUAUCGUCUCUCUGUGCAGAGCCUUUAGUGUAUUGUGAAGAAUAGUCAUUAAAUGAUACCUCACAUUUGUAGUUUUGCAUGUAUUGAUUUACAUGCCAACCAUAUGGGCCAAGGGGGGCUGACUGUGGAUUUCCAUACUGGAAGUUAUAAUAGGGAUUGGGCAUCGCUUGACCUUGGCCAUAACCAUAAUUAUUAGAAGAUUGUCCUUCCGACUGUGACCAUGAGUUAUCACUUGAUUGCACCCCAUAAGGCAUGGUAUAUGCUGGAUAAGGCAUUGCCAGAUUUUGGCUGUAUGGGUAUGGUCCAUCAUUGCUUCCUCUCACACCAAAUGAGUCAAUAGAGGGAGAUAAAGAAUCAUUUUCAUGCCUUGACAUGCUUCCUUGGCCUCUUUCUCUUGGUGUAUAAUUUUUUCCUAUAGCACCAAUGCCGGGUCCUGCUCUCCUACUUCCAUGAUCUCCAUCUUGUGUUGCAUGUGUGAAUUGCGUUUCACAAGUGAAUGGACUCAUCUGAUCAACUUGAUUUCCACUGUAACCUUGAACUCCGUGAUCACCUCCACUAUCAUCACCUCUGAUGCUUGAUGAGCCUCCUGAUCUGGUGCUACUAGAGCUCUCAUUUAUCAUGGAAGGAACAUGUGAGUCACGAGACCCUCCACGAGAGGAAAUUAAAAUAUUAGCUCGACCCACUAAUGCAUCGAUAGUUUCUCUAUCAGGCCCUAUAACCUCUUCUUGAAUUACUUGUUCAACAUUUAUUCCUUGCGCACGUGCUUCACGAGCAACUGUAGGAGAUGGAUUCCGUUCCUCGUCAUCUAGAUGAAGCGGCCUUAUCCAUUCAUAAAGUUGAUCUCUUUCUUCAUCAUCAUCAAACUCGGUACCAAUAUCAAAGACAUCCAAUGGAUCUUUUUGGUCCACAUGAGAAUGAGCUGCUUCUCUAUCUCGAAGUUUAAGUUUCAUGUUGUAAUAGCAAAAAACCAAUUUCUCUAGGCGAUUAUAUCCCAACUUGUUUCUCUGCUUAGUAUGGAUUAGUGCAAAUGUGCUCCAGUUCCUCUCACACGCAGAUGCUGACGCCGUUUGUGAUAAUAUUUUGAUAGCUAACUUUCUCACAGUUGGGGCACUACUCCCAUACAUUACCCACCAGUCGGCUAUCAAAAAAAAGAAAAAAAAUACAUAAGUUAGUCUCAAUAGAGUAAUUACGUGGACUCAUAUGAAAAACUUAAACUUAUAAUAUACUUACUAGGAGACAUCUCUGUUCUCGAUGCAAUGGCUGCUGGUGUUCCAAAAUUUAACCUUGCGUCUUUAAAAUAUGUAAGCUAAAAUAUUUCGCAUAUAAUAUAAAAAUAAUUAGCAUUUAUUAGCAUAAUUAAAAAUAAAUAAGUUGCAAACAAGAGGUGUUAAAAAAUAACCUCUUUUCCAAAUUGUCUUAUUGUUGGACAGUUAGGAUCCAAUUUUGCAAAAACAUUAUGCACAGCUUCAAGAAGCUUAUAAUUAUCUCCGACACCUGGUUUAUAGUUGUAUCGAGGAUUUAAGUAAUACCCUACAUUAAAUAUAUACAACAAUUAGUAAAAGUGUAAAACUGUAAAAUACGUCUACAUCUAAUCAUUAAAGAUUUUAAAAAACAGGUUUAGCAUAUACCUGCCGAAUGCAAAUCAUGUCAUAAAGUUUUAAACCACCGAUCAUUGAUAAUUUUUACCACCCACUUUGCACCAUGUUUUUAUUCCAACUCUUGUUUCACUACGCGCAUCAGCUCAUAAACGACACCCAUGGUUGGAUAUACUUCUGUGUCUACGAUUCGUAAUACUUUAUAAAGGGGCUCAGAUAUUUGACAAACCUGUUCCACCUGAGUCCAAAAUUGUUGAUCAAGUACAAUAUUUUCAACGACGCGUCCAUGUUCUGUGCGGCUGAAACUGCUGCCUUCCCACCAUUCACUUGUAAAUAAAUGUUUCAACCCCGCCUUCUUCUUCAUCAAGCUUUCUAAGGAAAUGAAGUUUGUUGCGAAUCGAGUUGGUGCAGCCCGAAUAAUUUCUCCUUUGCAAAACUCCCGCAUCUUGGUCAACAACAAAUUAUGAUUGUAAACGUACUUUGAAAUAAUUUUACCUUUAUCAAUCACCUUAGAAAUUUGCUCUUUCUUUCCCAUUUCUUCGAACAUGAGAUCGAUGCAGUGAGCUGCACAAGAAGUCCAAUAAACAUUAUGGUUUUUCAUUAACUUCUUACCAGCUUUGACAUAAUUAGCAGCAUUGUCAGUCACCACUUGAACCAUAUUGCGCUCUCCAACCUCCUUUAUAACUCCCUUCAACAAUUUGUAUAUAUACUCAUGCUCUUUCUUCUCACUAGAAGAAUCAACAGACCUGAGAAAAACAGUGGUACCUUUGGAGUAGACCAUGAAAUUUAUGAUGGACAAUCUAGUUGGCCCUGUCCAUCCAUCGCACAUGAUCGUGCAUCCAUAGGUCUCCCAUGUUGCCUUGAGUGUGUCAACAUAUUCAGAAAUGUCUUUGAAUUCCAUUUCCAAAUACUUGUUUCUUAUCUCAUAAGGUGUAGGGGGCAAUACUCCUUGUCCUGCUCUGUGGAUUCCAAUCACCAUAUUUUCAAAAUGAGGAGAUGCUACUUUCGCAGCAGGGACAUUAUCAUAAAUAAAAAACUUACUGAUGAAACGACCCAUCAUCUCCUUAAUUGAACCUUUAGAGAAGGAAUCUUUGAUAUUCUUUUGACGGGCUUGAAAAGAACUUUUAAGAUUUGCUGCUAAUGGUUGUGUUGGUUGUGACUCUCUAACACUUGUUGCUCGUCGCAUGUGUGUGCCGCUACUAGACCCAUCUCGGUUAGGAAUUUUGUGGAGGUGCUCUCUAUUCCAUUGUGCUUCUUUAGAGUCACGAAUUGCUUGUCGAUAAUGUCUGAGUUCCUCAGGGCCCAUUUCCUCAUCGGGGUACACUUCAUCAUCACUAUUAUCUUGUGAGUCAAUUAAUUCUCCACGAAGCUCUGCUCGAACCUCUUCCAUCACAUGUGUUUUUUUUGUCUUUUCUUUUUGCUUACUCAUCAAUAAGGAUCUGAUAAAAUUCUUCACUUCUAUUGGAACAGCCUCACACCGUUGCACAUUGUUUCCAGGAUCCAUGCCGCUGAGGUGGUAUUUAAGGCGUGUCACUCCACCACUUUUCAUCGUAAUCCGACAAUAUUUACAUAUGCUACCGUUUUUGUUGCCGGGGAUUCGUUCACCGUGCUCCCAUGCAGGAUCACGUCUACUUCCUCCACUAGUCAUUAUAUUUCCUUAACAAAGACUCCUGCACAAAACUUAGUUAAUUAGAGAUUUAGAACUCCAAACCAUAUAUAUUAUAUAUGCACCGUAUGUUAAAUGGGAAAGAAAUAAGUAAUAACUCACCAAAAUAUAGGAGCAUGGGAACAAUGUAUGUUAAAUGGGAAAGAAACGGGAAGAUGAAGAGAACAAAUGAAAAAUGAAGUAAUGGAUCAUCAAAGGUGGAAAAAAAGGAUUGCAUUUCAGAUGUUUUGUAGGAAUUUUUGUUGAAAGGUAGUUAUAAAUGAAUUAAGAAGUGUAGGUUAGAUAGUUAUAAAUGAAUUUUUUUUGAAAGGUAGAUAUAUUAAAAAUGAAUUAAGAAGUGUAGGUAAAAAUGUUUUUUUUAUGGAAGUGUAGGUAAAAAAGUUAGAUGGAGAUUUGACAUUUACCUAAUUUUUUACUUUUCAGAUUCGGAAAAAAACCAAUAUGUAUUAUAAAGAUAGUAUAAUAAANNNNNNNNNNNNNNNNNNNNNNNNNNNNNNNNNNNNNNNNNNNNNNNNNNNNNNNNNNNNNNNNNNNNNNNNNNNNNNNNNNNNNNNNNNNNNNNNNNNNNNNNNNNNNNNNNNNNNNNNNNNNNNNNNNNNNNNNNNNNNNNNNNNNNNNNNNNNNNNNNNNNNNNNNNNNNNNNNNNNNNNNNNNNNNNNNNNNNNNNNNNNNNNNNNNNNNNNNNNNNNNNNNNNNNNNNNNNNNNNNNNNNNNNNNNNNNNNNNNNNCAGGAUGACUAAGCUCAUUCUUAAGCAAACCAUGACUGAUGUGGUUAGGGGAAGUAUUGCUGACAAGGAUACAACCACUGAGUUUAUGACUGCUAUUGCCUUGAAGUUCCGUGAGAAUGAGAAGGCAGAAAUUUCUCUUUUGCUGGAUCAGUUGAUGGGAGUCAAAUAUGAUUCCUCUAAGAGUGUCCGUGAGCAUAUCAUGAGGAUCAUUGACAUCACCACUAGGCUUGGAGAUCUGAAGAUCCCUCUACCCUCUGAGUUUGUAGUGCAUCAGUCCCUAAGAACCCUGCCUGCUUCUUUUGGUCAGCGUAAGACCACCUAUUUUACUCAGAAGGAUAAGUGGGAUUUGAAUGAGUUAAUAGCGAUAUGUGUGCAAGAGGACGAUAGGAUCAAGAGGGAUGGGCAGCUUGUUGUGAAUCUAGUUUCAAAGUCAAAAUGGAAGGGAAAAGGCAAAGUUGUUGAAGGAAAAACUACUGCCUCCAGUGCAACUGGUUCUGGAGAAGGUACCAGUGGGACUAAGCCUUUCAAACUUGGCCCCAAGAAAGCUGUGAUUACCAAGGGUAAGAAACCGGGAGUCUUCAAAUGUUUUUUUUGUAAAAAGGAAUGACAUAUGAAGAAGAAUUACCAGGGAUUCAAGGAUUGGAUGGCAAAGAAGGGUAAGUCACAGCUAAGUGUUUUCUCUAUUGAGGUUAAUUUAGUUGAUUUAUCUUCUAAAUCUUGGUGGCUUGAUACCGGCUCACCGAUUCAUAUUACGAAUUCAUUACAGGGCUUUCUAAGCAAGAGAGCUCCAAGGAGAAAUGAGGUGCAAGUGGCAAUUGGGAAUGGCAUAGGAGUGAGUGUGAAGGCUAUAGGCACAGUCCGUUUAGUGAUAGGGUCUGACACUUAUCUUGAUUUGAAUAAUGUUUACUAUAUUCCUUCUAUGAAAAGGAAUUUAAUUUCGGUUUCUGAGUUAGUGAAACAAGGAUGUACCUUUUUCAUCGACUCUUAUGGAAUAAAAAUCUCCCUUGAUUCCCGUUAUAUUGGCUCAGCUUGUUUGUUGAAUGAUUAUUAGUCUCUUGAAUGUUCUUAUCCUAAGGAAGUGUUGUUGAUUGAGAAUGCACAGAAAGAUAUAAGUAGAAAGAGAAAACACAGUGAGAAUUCAGCUUAUCUUUGGCAUCGAAGACUUGCACACAUAUCUAAAGAAAUGUUGCAGAGAAUGGUGAAAGAAAACUUGCUGCCAGAACUAGACUUUUCUGAUUUUGAUACUUGCAUUGAAUGUGUUAAGGGAAAAAUGACCAAGUCUAGAAACAAGGAUUCCAAUAGGAUUCCAAUAGAAGCACUGAACCUUUGCAACUUAUCCACACAUAUAUUUGUGGACCUUUUGCACACCAGACUAUAUGUGGUAAUAAGUAUUUUAUUACCUUCAUAGAUGAUUACACCUGGUAUUGUACCUUGUUUCUCAUCUCAGAAAAAUCUCAGAGCUUGGAAAAAUUUAAAAUUUUUAAAGCUAAAGCUGAAAAAGAGUUGGGAAAACAAGUUAAGGCAGUGAGGUCGGAUAGAGGAGGGGAGUCUUAUGGUAGGUAUACUAAAACCGGGCAGCAUAAGAGUCAUUUUGCUUUGUACCUGAAAGAGCAUGGGAUUCAAGCUCAGUAUACAACUCUAGGUUCACCUGAAUCAAAUGGGGUGUCGGAGAGGAAAAAUAGAACUCUUCUCAACAUGGUGAGGAGUAUGAUGUGCACCUCAGGUUUGCCAAGAUUCCUAUGGGGGGAGGCUCUUAAAACAGCAAAUUACAUUACAAAUAGGACUCCGAGCAAAGAUGUGGCUAAAACUUCUUUUGAGUUAUGGAAAAACAGAAAACCAAGUGUGAAUCAUGUGCAUGUUUGGGGCUGCAAGGCGGAAGCUCGUCCAUACAAUCCUAAAGAAGGGAAAUUAGAUCCAAAGACAAUCUCAGCCCAUUUUAUCGGGUAUCCAGAAAAUUCCAGAGGCUAUAGAUUCUACUGCCCUACCCAUUCCACGAGAAUAAUUGAGACCAACAAGGCUGUUUUCCUUGAUGAGAUCAAUUAUACUCACACAUAUGAGGACCUUGAGCUCGAUUUCCAAGAGUUAACUGAAGAUGAGCCUCAAAGCAUGGUUGUUCCCAUAAAUUUUGAGGCUGCAGCUGGAAAUGUUGGACAACCUCAGCUUGAAGUUGUUGCAGCAAAUCAAAACGCUGACUCUGAAAAUUCAGAAGAUGAUCUGGAAGAAGUAGAGCAAGAACCUGAGCCCCAAAACUUGCAAGAUGUGCAAGUUGAUGCCGGAGCGCCUCCACAGCAACUUAGAAGGUCUGGGAGAGUUAGAAAGCCUGCCAUUAACACACAGGAGUACAUUGUGUACUUGCAAGAAGCUGAAUUUGAUUGGGGAGAAGAAGAUGAUCUUGUAACUUUUAGUCAAGCUGUUGAAAGUGAUCAAAGCUUGAAAUGGACAGAAGCAAUGGAAGCAGAGCUUAAGUCCAUGUAUGAUAACAAUGUAUGGGAGUUGGUGGAGCCUACUGGGAGUCAUAAAUCGAUUGGUUGUAAGUGGGUUUUCAAAACCAAAAGGUGUGCUGAUGGAUCAGUGGAGAGAUUUAAAGCUAGACUAGUGGCAAAGGGGUUCACUCAGCAAGAAGGAAUAGAUUAUAAUGAAACAUUUUCACCAGUGUCUACCAAAGAUGCUUUCCAAAUCAUAAUGGCUCUAGUAGCUCAUUAUGAUAUGGAAUUACAUCAAAUGGAUGUUAAGACGACAUUCCUCAAUGGAGAUUUGGAGGAGGAGAUUUAUAUGAAACAACCGGAAUGUUUCAUAGAGGCUGGAAAGGAACAUUUGGUGUGUAGAUUGAAUAAAUCCAUUUAUGGAUUGAAACAGGCAUCCCGCCAGUGGUACUUAAAGUUUGAUGCGGUAGUUACCUCUUUUGGCUUUGUUGAAAAUCUUGUUGAUGAAUGUGUAUACAUGAAAGUCAAUGGCAGAAAUUGUAUUUUUCUGGUGUUAUACGUUGAUGAUAUUCUGCUGGCAAGCACUGAUAAAGGGUUAUUGCAGCAGACAAAGAGUUUUCUUUCUGAAAAUUUUGACAUGAAGGAUCUGGGAGAUGCUUCAUAUGUUUUGGGGAUUGAGAUCAACAGGGAUAGAUCUAGACAUCUUCUAGGUUUGUCUCAACAGGCCUACAUUUCAAAAGUGUUGAAGAGGUUUGAAAUGCACAAUUGUUCACCUGGAUCAGCACCUAUGUCUAAGGGUGACAGGUUGAACAAAAAUCAGUGUCCCAAGAAUGAGUUAGAGAAGCAACACAUGAAGAACAAACCUUAUUCCAGGUUGGUGGGAAGCUUAAUGUAUGCACAAGUGUGCACUAGGCCGGAUUUAGCUUAUGCAGUGGAUAUGUUGGAGAGAUUUCAAUCGAAUCCAGGACAUGAGCACUGGAUUGCUGGAAAGAAAGUGCUGAGAUAUCUUCAGAAAAUCAAGGGUUAUAGUUUGGUGUAUAAAAGAGUCAAGAAUCUUGAAGUAGAAGGUUAUUCUAAUGCUGAUUUUGCUGGAAAGUUUCCAUUUUCAUCAAAAUCGACAUCAGGCUAUGUUUUUAUGUUAGUCGGGGGUGCUAUAGCUUGGAAGAGUGUAAAACAAACCCAGAUUGCAACCUCUACUAUGAUGACAGAGUUGAUUGCUGUUUAUGAGGCUACAUGUCAAGGAUUAUGGCUGAAAAAUUUUCUCACACCAACCAAGAUGGUUGAUAGCAUCAUUUCAAGGCCUUUGAAGAUUCAUUGUGACAACUCUGCAACAGUUUAUUUUGCAAAGAAAAACAAGAGGUCUACCAACUCCAAGCACAUUGACUUGAAGUAUUAUAGUGUCCGAGAGAGAGUAAAGCGUAGUGAGUUGAUUCUUGCUAAAGUUAAUACCUUGAACCAAUUAGCAGAUCCUUUCACUAAGCCAUUAACCAUUACAGCUUUUCAAAAGCAUACUGAGAACUUAGGCAUUUUGCCUAAUCUAGAUGACCGAGUUUAGUGGGAGUUUGAUUGCUAGGUUCAGUGGGAGUUAGUGUUCAUUCAUUAAAGCUGGAAAUUUUGUUUCAUUUAAGUUUCAGAAUUUUUCUUUUUGGUUAUAUUUUGAGAUCUCAUUGAGCUAUGAAUUUUACGAACUGAUUUACAAUAAAAUUCAUCUUUUACUGGAUUGAAAUUGUUUAUCUUUUAUUAUUCAAGUACUUGAUUUAAAUUAUUUAUUUGAUUCUUAUAAAUAAUUGUUUCAUAGUAGUAUACAUUUCAGUCUAUGAGUUGUUUUUGAAUCAUUUUAUUUUCAUUCCAGACUUGAUCUGGAUAACACAUUCAGAAUAGUUGCAGGCGCAGCUAUGUGUUGAGGUUCAGGCAUAUGGAACCAUUAAGAGGACCAUAUACAGGUGUUUUUGGAAGGUUGUUAAACCUGCAUUGUAUAUAUUAAGUGAUAUCUUAUGUCUCAUGUAGCUCAUGGUUGUGAUGUUUUGUAAUUGUAAAGUAGCUGUGCUUUCAAGUGCAACCUUUUCUGCAGUUCUUCAUCAUGAUUAUGGAUUGACAGAGAUAUGAUUAGAAACUUGAAUGCUUUUAUCUCAGGUGCACACUUUGGAUUAAUUAAUUACUAUGUCUGAAGCUACAUUAUUCUUGUUGUAUAAACCUGUAAAUGUUCAAGUGGGAGAUUGUAAGUUGAAUUUGAACAAUUACAAGUUUAUAUUUAGUACAACAACUAAUGUUACAACAGAGUUAGUAAUUAGAGAUAUUAGGCAUUUUGUAUUCCAUGUUAAAUGUAUUCAUUAUGUGAAUAUAAUAGUGGGAAGUUCUAAAGAAGACAACUGAAACAGAUAUAAGUGAUUGCAGCCAUUAUUGAGAUAUAAAGACCUUUUAUGGGAGGGCUUUGUAUUAGGAUGCUUUCACUAUAAAUACUAGGUCCAUGUACUCUUUUUGUAAUCAGUUAUUCAGUUCUUGCCCCAUAGAAAAAUAGCUAACAAAAGAGACGUGCAGAAGAUUGGUAUUUUGAGAUGGCUUCAUCAGUUUCAUCAGGUACACAUUCAGUUCUAUUCAUUAAUAUAUUGUUUCCCUAUAUUUGCAUAUAUUUGUGUGCUUGUGAGUGCAAUAGAUGUGUUUAUGUUUGUAUGCAAUUAUUUGAGUGUUUCAUAUUUACGCUUUCAUAUCUUUCUAAUUACUUUGAUGAUUCCCGAAACCCCCCCCCCCUUUUGCAUUCCACCAUUUUUGUGUCAAUCCAUAAUCCCUACCUGAUUACUUACAACUAGAACAGCUAUCGUGUAUACUACUAGGAUUCACUAUUAGUAGUAUUCACUAUUUGUAGAUAUAUACACAGACACACGUGUAUAUAUCUGGUGAUCGAAACUAACACUUUUAUAAAGUGGAAUCAACAAUAUAAAAUCCACAUGAUAAACAAACAAGUAUUCGAAGUUCAAUUCUUCGAGUUUAAAUAUACAACAGAUGCACAAACAGCAUGAAAAGUGAACAUGAUUUAUCAUGCAGCUUGAUAAAUGGGAUAUAAAGCGCGCACCACCUCUACAUGCAGCAAAUGUUUAUAGAAAAAUAGAGGAAAAAAAACAGUUGGAAAAUUAUAUAUCAAAAUAUAAAAAAAAUGCAUGAAGCAGAAUGAAACUGCCCAUAUAUGUGUGACAAAAUCACAUGUCACGCAAAGAACAAAUCGAACGGCUUUUAUAUGACAUUAAGAGUCCUUGAGUUCUAGAAUGACAUAUCACAAGUGCAUGAAGACUAUAAUUAAUAUCAAAAGAAAAAGGUAGGAUGGAUCAAGACUUAUUAGAUAUUUUAUGUUUAAAGUCUAAUUAGGUUUAUGAUCUAUCUACAUAUGUGAAUGAAGAUAACCUUGAUGACAAGAAUAUAAGCAACUCGAUCUAAGUCUAAGACACUGUUUGUAUGAAACAUUUCUGAUUUUGAUAGUUUUAGAAGUCAAAGUCAACAAAUUCACAGAAAGCAGCUUCAUCGAGCACUGCAUUCACAGAAAGCAACUUCAUCUUUAACUUCCUAAGCAAUCCAUAGCUGACUCUCUGUUUGGAGAUGAAGUCAACUACUUGACGAGAGGCAAGUCUGUCAAACAAAACAGAGAGAAAUGAAGAGAGAAAAGCUCCAGAGCCAUGGUUUAUCGGUCAUACAGGAAACAGGAAGAUCACAGGGGAAGAAGAACGGAAGUGAUCAGAAGAAAAGUGAAACAAACAAGAAUUUGAGUUGUUAACUUGUGAUUGUUAUUCUUGGAAAAUGAGGUUCAAGCUGGAUUAAAUAGUAUGUUCUUCUUUAUUCAUAAGCACAUGUCCAUGAUUACAAUAUUCCUAUGUUCAAACUUACAGCAACAUACGCUAUCGAUUCUUGUCUUAAUCAAACUACUAAUGAACUCUAAAUCCUGAUAACCUAAACUCGAAAAGCACAACUCGCUAUAAUUCUAAUAAUCCAUUAUUAGCACAAAGAAUGAAAUCAUCGCGCAACUCGCUAUCGGUUCAAAGUGACUGUUUCAGCGUCAUUGUACUAUAUAUUGAUGCACAUUCUAGUUUAUAUUAUUGUACUAAUUCUUAAAAAUUCGCUAGUGCAUGCAGAUAAAAGAGAGUUGUACUACCCAUGGGGUUUGGUCCAGUAGAAAAUAUGCUGGGUCUGCUUGUUGGGCGAAUGUUACAGUGGCACUCCUGGUAAUAGGAGGUCACUGGUUUGAUCCUCCUCAUAGGGCUGGGCAUAUUCGGAUCGGGUCGGUUUAAGGCCCAAACCGGAUCCAAUCCGAAUUAUUCGGAUUCUUAUAAUCUCCAUCCGGAUCCCGAUUUUUUUCACUCCAUCCGAAAAUUCGGCCUAACCGAAAUUCGGAUCGGGCCGAAUCGGUUUCGGAUUUGGGCCGAAUUUGAACCAUUCAGUAAAACAGUAACAUUUUGUAUUUCACAAAAACCUUGCAACUUAAAACAGUUUCAAACACUCAUAGAGAAAUACUGAGUUUCAUAGUCAUACUUCAAGGAGUUCAAGCUUAUCACAAUCAUAAACUCAUUACAAACUGGAUCCACGGUAAUGAGUUGUAUGCACCAUUAAUGAGUUGACACAUAUAUAAAAAAUAAUAAUUAAAUAUUAAUAUUCGGGUCGGUUUAAUCAGGCGGUUUAGGGGGUUGAACCGGAUCCAAACCGGUUUAAACCGGUUUGAGUCAUUUUUCCAACAGUUUUUCCGGUUCGGUUAAUCGGCCCGCUUUUUCGGGCGGUUUUUUCGGUUGAACCCGGUUAUAUUCGAUUUUCGCCCAGCCCUACCUCCACAAGUGAAAAACACCUCAUGGGGAGAGGCCAUAUAUACCCAUGUUGCUCCCGGCCUCGAAGUGGUAGUCCCACCCGACCACCAUUUUUUGUAACUAAAAGAGAGUUGUACUAGCUAAUGACAGAUAUAAAUCUAAUUUGGGAUCAAACUAACCAAAUGUGGCUGAGGUCAAGGUGGUGUCACCGUCGACGACACUGCGGCUACCGAUGAUUACAGUUCUGUCCAUGCCAUCCCCAACAAGCAUCACAUUCUUCAUGUGUCCACCGAUUUCUACCUUCUCAUUGUAGACGCCGGAUUUCACAUAGAUUAUGGCUCUUGGAGGUCGUUUGUCGCCCAUUCUUGCAAGUGCAGCCACGGCAUGGUUAAUUGUUGUGUGAGUGCCUGAACCAUCUUUUGCCACCACAAAGUCAGCCCUGGAUCUUGCCGGAUUCCACGAUGCUAGAAGCCCUCCAUUUGGCUUUGCAUUGGAGUUUUGUCUAUGCAGCACUUCUACAUUAUAUUAAACCAUAAAUUGCAAAAACUACUAAUGCAAAAAUUAAAGUCAUGAUAAUGUAACACAAAAU
This 29219-nucleotide long non-coding RNA is filed under the name Fragaria vesca (wild strawberry). RNAcentral's name for it is "long non-coding RNA (FVES_LNC003620)". The record is from RNAcentral. Lineage: Eukaryota; Viridiplantae; Streptophyta; Magnoliopsida; Rosales; Rosaceae.